RNAcentral lists this ribosomal RNA (500 nucleotides) under uncultured bacterium. Its description in RNAcentral is "partial 16S ribosomal RNA". It matches the Rfam family "Bacterial small subunit ribosomal RNA", at positions 30 to 523 of the family's 1533-position model. The record is from RNAcentral.
AUUGAACGCUGGCGGAAUGCUUUACACAUGCAAGUCGAACGGCAGCACGGACUUCGGUCUGGUGGCGAGUGGCGAACGGGUGAGUAAUGUAUCGGAACGUGCCCAGUCGUGGGGGAUAACGUAGUGAAAAUUACGCUAAUACCGCAUACGAUCUAUGGAUGAAAGCGGGGGAUCGCAAGACCUCGCGCGAUUGGAGCGGCCGAUAUCGGAUUAGGUAGUUGGUGGGGUAAAGGCCCACCAAGCCAACGAUCUGUAGCUGGUCUGAGGGGACGACCAGCCAAACUGGAACUGAGGCACGGUCCAGACUCCGACGGGAGGCAGCAGUGGGGAAUUUUGGACGAUGGGCGAAAGCCUGAUCCAGCCAUUCCGCGUGAAGGAUGAAGGCCCUCGGGUUGUAAACUGCUUUUGUACAGAACGAAAAGGUUUCUACUAAUACUAGGAGCUCAUGACGGUACUGUAAGAAUAAGCACCGGCUAACUACGUGCCAGCAGCCGCCGUAA